Molecule: long non-coding RNA, 7015 nt
Filed under: Arabidopsis lyrata
Lineage: Eukaryota; Viridiplantae; Streptophyta; Magnoliopsida; Brassicales; Brassicaceae
Description: long non-coding RNA (ALYR_LNC001783)
Source: RNAcentral
AAAAUAGAAAGAUUAAAUGUAACUAAAAGUUUUUAUCAUUUAAUUCCGAGAUGUCAAAAUCAAAUUUUGUAAAUGAGUAAAACAGUUGUGUUUCCGGCGACGUGGUUAGCUUUGAGAAAUCGGGUGCCAUUUUGAACUCGGUGAACAACCUUCCGAUGGAUGUCAAGGCAAAAGCGUUCAGUUGUACUGCGACAUCCUCAAGGUCUUUGUCUUCCGGGAUUAAAGACUUGGAGAAACCACGGAAUGGAAUUGUCAUGGAACUUAUCAUGGAACCCAUGGGUACGUACAAAAGGGAAAAUGAAACAGAGAAGAGAGUGAUUAAAAAAUGGUUUUUUGUUAUAAACCACAUGUUGGAUGGACUCCAUAACCGUGGGCCUUAUGCAUAUUCUAGAAGGCCCGUGUCCAUGUCCUAGAAGGCCCAUGCCCAUGUUCUAGAAGAUUCUCCUUUUAGGAUCCAUUUUAUACUUAGUGGGCUUUUGGGCUUUAGGGUUUACUAACCCAAUGAGGAUUUGUCUCCUCUCAUUAUGUAUAUAUAUGUAACGAACUUCAUUCAUUAAUACAUAGAAAAACAAUAAGUUUACAACACGUUAUCAGCACGAGUUGCUCUUAACAAAAACCCUAAAAACCCUAAACCUAAACUCGCCGAGUUCGCCCACCGCUUGAAGCUACCAACCGCCGACCGCUCGCUUUGCUCUUUGAUCGGCGAUCUCCUCCUAGCUUCAUACGUUCGUGAUAAGCUUGAUAACCGAGGUCUUUAGCUCCCGGUUCCAAUCCAUACAACCCCAAAAAGGUGAAAGGUAAAAACCAAAAACCCUAAAAGCUAAAGAACCGAUUAUGAAUUUGAACCUAACGAUCGGUGGAAACCUAAAACGAACCUUGAAUGUUUAAGUAAUCUUAUUGCUUGAAAGAUCCGUUUGUUUGAAUCGUUUAGGUUGCUAGAAAAGGAUUGAUUAUUGCUUAAACUAAACUCGCCUAAGUUGCUAGACAAGUUCUAUUGUAUAAACGAUUGCUUCUUACUUAUGAAAACCGAUCAUGAACUUGAAAUUAACAAACGGUUAAGACACUAAAAACGAAUUUUGAUUGUUUAAACGAUUGCUAUUGCUUGUGAGAUCCGAUUACUUGAAUCGUUUAGGUUGCUAGAAAAGUUGGUUAUUGCUUAUGAUAAAAUCGCCUAAGUUGCUAGAGAAAUUUUAUUAUCUAAACCUAAAAUCGUAAAACGAAAAUACAUAAGGCUAAUAACCGAAACUUUAAAGAUCUAGAAACCUAAAACUAAAACGAACCUAAUCCGAAAAUUCUAUAUGUUUAAACGGCUUGAUUGAGAUUGUUUAGGUUGAUUAGAUUGUUUGCUCCUUUGAUUGAUUACAUGCUUAUCACCCUAAAACUAAAAUUGCAUGAACCCUAGAAAACUUAGAAAAGAUAAUCCUAAAAGAAAUCUUUAAAACCCUAAAAUCUAGGAAACCCUUAAAACCCUAAAUAAAAUAGGAAACCCUAGAUAAUAGGAAAUCUUUAAAAUCCUAAAUCUUAGGGAUAAUAGAAAAUCCUAAAACCCUAAAUAAAAUAGGAAACCCUAGAUAAUAGGAAAUCUUUAAAACCCUAAAUCUUAGGGAUAAUAGGAAAUCUUUAAAACCCUAAAUCCUAGGAAUAAUAAGAAAUCCUAAAAUCUUAAAUAAAAUAGGAAAUCCUAAACCCUAAAAAAUAUUAAAUAAAAAAUAGGAAAUCUUAAAACUCUAUGAGGAAAGUCAAAUCCUUAAGUAAAUCGAUUCAUGUUUGGUUUUUAAAACCACAUGACAUUAACGAUUACAUGAUUUUGACUCAAUCUUCUUUUGCUUGUAGAUGUCGAAAACAAAGAACCUCGAGUUUUCUGCACUCAACGUUUCCGGCGACAACUACUUACAAUGGGCAUUGGACAUUAAGAUAGCCCUUGAAUCCAAAGAUCUCGCCGAGUGCAUUAUGGAAAACAACGAGUGUGAGAAGAGGUCGAAGUUUAAGGCGAUUGCGUUUAUACGCCAUCACCUAGCAGAGAGCCUUAAGAAUCAGUACCUUACUAUCGAGGAUCCUCUCGACCUUUGGGUCGAGUUGAAGAAUCGAUACGAUCACCAAAAGACGGUACUCUUACCGAAAGCCCAAUAUGAUUGGAAAAACCUCAGGAUCCAGGAUUUCAAAUCCGUGGAGGAGUAUAACUCCGAGCUUUUUAAGAUUGUCUCAAUCCUGAGGCUAUGUGGUGAAAAGGUGACUGAUGAUACCUUGCUUGAGAAAACAUACUCAACAUUCCACCCUAAUAACGUGGUACUUCAGCAACAAUACCGUGGAAUGAAAUUCAAAACAUAUGCAAGUUUGAUCUCCUGCUUACUCCUUGCUGAAAAGAAUAAUGAGCUAUUACUAAUGAAUAGCUCGAUGAGACCUCCAGGAUCCACACCGUUGCCGGAAGCCCAUAAGGCCGAAAUAGCCAAAGAACCUCGAGAGACCAAAGAAACCAACUACGUCCAUAGAGGAUAUCACGGUCGUGGCCGUGGUAGAGGACGUGGUGGUGGUCGUAGCAACCAUAACUCCUACGGCCGAGGAAACCACCAUGGUGGUAGAGGCCGUGGGAACAAUGGUCGAGGUCGUGGCCGCGGGAUCUUCAAACCGCAACACAAGGCCAAGUCCGUUUGCCAUAGAUGCGGAAUGGACAAUCAUUGGGCUAAGACGUGCAGGACAUCUAAACAUCUAAUCGAUGCUUAUCAAGAAAUGAUAAAGAAGAAUCCCGAAGCCAAUUUGGCUCAUCUCGAUGGUGAUGGAGAUUUUGACCAUGAGAACGAUGACCAAUUGGAAUAUGAGACUUCGGAUUGCUUAAGAGAGGAAAAUUAAAUUCGACAUCUUGUGUUUUAAUUUGCUUUAUGCUUUAAUUUACUUUAUGUUUCCAUGCUCUAUGUUUUUUUGAAUUCUAUUCUAUGUCUUUGAAUUCUAUUAUUUCUUGGAUUUAAAUUUAAAGUUUAAUUUGCCUUUAAUAUAAUCGUUUACUUUAUUAUCUAAGACAUAUUUCUUGUCAAUGGCCGAUGACAAGAAUAUACUUGUGGUGGAUAGUGGAUCGAGCCACACAAUUUUAAAAGACAAAAGAUACUUUAUAAAUCUAACAUUGAAAAAUGCCAAUAUUAGCACCAUAGCGGGUAUAGCUAGUCUUAUUGAGGGCCAUGGUCAAGCCCAUAUCCUUUUAUCAAAGGGCACGCAUCUUGAAAUAAGCGAUGCCCUAUAUUCACCCAGCUCGAAGAGGAGCUUGUUAAGUUUCAAAGAUAUAAGAUUGAAUGGUUUCCAUAUUGAAACAAAGGGUGAAGGGAACAAAGAGAUCACCCAAGGACAUAAAAAAGUCCUAGAGACUAUACCCGCAUUAUCCACUGGUCUCUACUAUGCUGAAAUCGAUAUGAUCGAAGCUAAUAUGGCAAUGAACAAAGAGUUCAUCGAGAAAUUCACUUUAUGGCAUGACCGGCUUGGCCAUCCGGGUCAUAGUAUGAUGCGUAAACUAAUAACUAAUUCAAAGGGGCACACCCUAAGAGAGAAAAGAGUUAUCCCUAAGAAUCUCACGUGUGAAGCAUGUUCACAAGGGAAACUCAUUAUAAGGCCAUCACCGGCUAAGGUAAAUAAAGAGACCUUAAAAUUUCUGGAAAGGAUACAAGGAGAUAUAUGUAUGGUCCUCAUUGAUGCAUCGACAAGAUGGUCGCAUGUUUGUCUCCUAUCUACUAGAAACCAAGUGUUUGCUAGGUUAUUGGCCCAGAUAAUAAGACUGCGAGCCCACUUUCCAGAUUUUCCGCUUAAGACUAUACGUCUAGACAAUGCCAGUGAAUUCACGUCCCAAGCGUUUAAUGACUACUGUAUGUCCAUGGGGGUAAGUGUGGAACAUCCCGUAGCACAUGUACAUACACAGAAUGGAUUAGCGGAAUCCUUCAUUAAACGAAUUCAAUUGAUAGUUCGACCAUUACUCAUGAGGUCGAAGCUUCCAGUAGCCGCUUGGAGACACACUGUUUUACAUGCAUCAGAGCUUAUACGCAUAAGGCCAUCUAGUGAACAUAGAUAUUCACCAUCCCAAUUACUCAUGGGUCAUGAGCCAGACAUAUCCCAUCUAAAGACUUUCGGGUGUGCCAUAUAUGUACCGAUUGCUCCACCACAUAGAACAAAGAUGGGACCUCAAAGGAGGAUGGGAAUAUAUGUUGGAUUUGAUUCUCCCACCAUUAUUAAGUAUCUAGAGCCAACUACGGGUGAUCUAUUUAAGGCUAGAUACGCGGAUUGUCAUUUUAAUGAAUCCGAAUUUCCUACUAUAGGUGGAGAGACGAACAAGCUGGGUAAAGCAAUAAAAGAAAUAUAAUGGAAUCAAACAUCCUUAAAUUGGCAAGAUCCUCGGACUCUGGCAUGAGAAUCAGAGGUCCAUAAGAUUAUACAUUUGAAAAGCUAGCUAAUCAAUUGCCAGAUUCCUUUGCUGACCCAAAGAAAGUUACAAAAACGUACAUACCAGCUUGUAAUGCACCAGUACGUAUUGAUAUCCAAAAGGGAAUCAAUGAAAUUGCUACCGAGUCUAACACACGAAAGAAACGUGGUAGACCAAUAGGUUCCAAAGAUAAAAAUCCUCGAAAAUCAAAGAAAGGUGCAAUAGGAAUCCGAGGUUACUAAGGAAACCAUCCCAGACAUGGAGAUAAGGCCGGCCGGCUCUAAGGUACAGGUACCAUAUAAUGUAGCUUGGGACGCCAAGCUGCAAAGUAUUAAAGGUCCUGACCAUAAUAAAUCUCAAAUCGAUUAUAUCAUGUCUGGAACAUAAUGGAACAUAUAAGAAAUGUCGACAUAAGAUGAUUUUGCAUGCAAGGUAGCACUUGAAUUUAUGAAUAUAAAUGAGGAUCAGGAGCCCACGUCUAUACUAGAGUGCACUCAAAGACUUGAUUGAUUAAAUGGUACAAGACCAUAAAACGUGGAGCUAAGAAUCAUUAAGAAAAGGAAUGAGUUUGGUCCGACCUUAAGGACACCAUUCGAUGUAAAAACCAGUAGGACACAAAUGGGUCUUUGUGAAGAAGAGAAAUGAGAAUAAUGAAAUCGUGAGAUAUAAGGCACGGCUUGUAGCACAAGGAUUCUCACAAAGACCAGGGAUAGAUUAUGAAGAAACAUACUCCCCUGUGGUGGAUGCUAAGACAUUUAAAUUUUGCUAAGUCUGGCUAUAUAAAGAAAAAGACUUGAUUUGCGGCUAAUGGAUGUAACGCCUGCAUAUUUAUAUAAGUCCACUGGAUGAUAUAUAUGAGAUUACCAGAGGGUAUUGAGCUCAAAGAUAAAGAUAAGAAAGUGUCUCGGGACCAAUACUGCAUAAGGCUGAACAAAUCGCUUUAUGGACUGAAACAAAGUGGGCGCAUGUGGUAUAAUAGAUUAAGCGAUUACUUAGUCAGAGAAGGUUAUAAAAAUGAUCCCAUCAGUCCAUGUAUCUUCAUAAAGAAAUUCGCAAACAAAGGAUUUGUGAUAAUAGCAGUAUAUGUGGAUGAUUUGAACAUCCUUGGAACCUCUGGGGAAAUCGCCCAAACAGUCAAAUAUCUAAAGAAAGAAUUCGAGAUGAAAGACCUAGGCAAGACAAAAUUCUGUUUGGGAUUGCAACUUGAGUACAUGAAUAAUGUAAUCCUUGUGCAUCAAAAGGCAUAUACUGAGAAAGUACUCAAGAGAUUCAAUAUGGACCAGGCCCACCCAUUGAGCAGCCCAAUGGUGGUGAGAAGCCUCGGAUUGGAUAGUGAUCCAUUCGGUCCAAAGAAGGAUGAGGAAGAAGUUCUCGAUCCUGAAGUGCCAUACCUUAGUGCCAUAGGAGCGUUAAUGUACUUGGCUAGCCACACUAGACCAGACAUAUGUUUUGCCGUGAACCUCCUUUGUCUAAAUUUAGUUCAUGAUCAACCCAAAGGCACUAGAAAGGUUUGAAGGAAGGUUUGGUUAAAUUUUAAAUUCUAUUCUUCCUAUGUUUGUUUAUUUGGGUUUUAUUCUAUAUUGAUCUAACCAAAGAAGGUCUAGUUUGCUUUGGUUUAGUUUGUUUUGCUGAUGCAGGUAAGAUCAGAUUAUGGCAUGGUCAAUAAAUAGGAACUACGUGUGGCUUGAUCCCUUCCAAGGGUACGUAGGCAGCCUUCUUCAAGGCGCAGCUACUACAACAUCAAAGACCAUCAUAUGAGGAGACAACACAGCCUGUAUCGCUCAGCUCAAGGACGGCUACAUCAAGGGAGAUCGGACGAAGCACAUUCUACCAAAGUUCUUCUUCACGCAUGACUUGCAAAGGGAUGGAGAAGUUCGAGUGGUACAAGUCCAAUCAUGUGACAAUUCAGCCGACCUAUUCACUAAGGCGUUACCAACAUCAACAUUGAGGGGAUGCGGAGACUUAAGGACUUACAGGGAUGACCAAAUCAGGGGGAGUAAUACGUGCUGUACUCUUUUUCCUUCACCAUGGUUUUAUCCCAAUGGGUUUUCCUGGUAAGGUUUUAAUGAGGCAGCAUCCCCCAAGCGUAUUGCUGAGAUCUUUUGGCAUCUACACGGUUAUGUCAUCCAAGGGGGAGUGUUAUAAACCACAUGUUGGAUGGACUCCAUAACCGUGGGCCUUAUGCAUAUUCUAGAAGGCCCGUGUCCAUGUCCUAGAAGGCCCAUGCCCAUGUUCUAGAAGAUUCUCCUUUUAGGAUCCAUUUUAUACUUAGUGGGCUUUUGGGCUUUAGGGUUUACUAACCCAAUGAGGAUUUGUCUCCUCUCAUUAUGUAUAUAUAUGUAACGAACUUCAUUCAUUAAUACAUAGAAAAACAAUAAGUUUACAACAUUUUUUUUUUUCUUUUCUUUUUGAGUUUUGUGAAUAAUUUGAAUGUAAAUGAAAUGAAUUGUGAAAUAAAAUAUCAAUAUUUAUAAUCAUAACCUCACGGCGUAGCUUUUUUUUUACCAGAUGGAAGCUUUCUAAUUUUAACCAAAAAGCUUCAGCUUUUGCAUGUUGUUUCACCCACGCAAUUUACUAAUGUAGUACUACUGCAAAUACAUUUGUGCAGAAACAAAUUUC